AUUGAACGCUGGCGGCAGGCCUAACACAUGCAAGUCGAGCGGAUGAAGGGAGCUUGCUCCUGGAUUCAGCGGCGGACGGGUGAGUAAUGCCUAGGAAUCUGCCUGGUAGUGGGGGAUAACGUCCGGAAACGGGCGCUAAUACCGCAUACGUCCUGAGGGAGAAAGUGGGGGAUCUUCGGACCUCACGCUAUCUGAUGAGCCUAGGUCGGAUUAGCUAGUUGGUGGGGUAAAGGCCUACCAAGGCGACGAUCCGUAACUGGUCUGAGAGGAUGAUCAGUCACACUGGACCUGAGACACGGUCCAGACUCCUACGGGAGGCAGCAGUGGGGAAUAUUGGACAAUGGGCGAAAGCCUGAUCCAGCCCUGCCGCGGGUGUGAAGAAGGUCUUCGGAUUGUAAAGCACUUUAAGUUGGGAGGAAGGGUAGUAAGUUAAUACCUUGCUGUUUUGACGUUACCAACAGAAUAAGCACCGGCAAACUUCGU
This 483-nucleotide ribosomal RNA is filed under the name uncultured bacterium. RNAcentral's name for it is "partial 16S ribosomal RNA". It matches the Rfam family "Bacterial small subunit ribosomal RNA", at positions 30 to 506 of the family's 1533-position model. The record is from RNAcentral.